Xenopus laevis (African clawed frog) is the source of this 2624-nucleotide long non-coding RNA. RefSeq lists it as uncharacterized. NCBI's taxonomy places the organism in Eukaryota, Metazoa, Chordata, Amphibia, Anura, Pipidae. The record is from RefSeq and is a predicted model, not a curated record. The transcript is spliced from 2 exons.
CUGGGGAGAUAGUUUAAGUAAAAACACAGCAGUCCCCGCCCCGUGACGUAACACGGACGGUUACACUGACUAGGAGCAAACAAGAUCUGGCCAAAGCACUUUGAUUUAUCUCCCCUGGUAUCCACCUGAUCAUUUCAGGCUGCACCCCAUGUUAUCCUAGAGCCCCAGUUCCUUCUUUUUUUUUUAAUGCAGGGAGAACAGUAACUUUUGCAUUUAGAUAAGGGGGUCUUGCAGAAGAAAGCAGCCCAUUGCACUUAACUCUCAAAUAUCACUGAAGGGGGAUGCUGCUUCCACUGGCUAUCAUAGGGUUAAGCAAUAUGCAAACUGAGGUCUCACUUUUUUAUGGCACAAUUUGGCCCGUGUACACAUUGGCUGUCUAUCCCCUGCACAUGGUCUUGCCAAGGUCGAGAAGUUUAUAAGCAGCAGUGAGUUGUGUGUUGGGUGGGUCCCAAUGCCCACAGCCUUAAGGAAGAGACCCUAUCAAUAUUGCCUCUGCUUUUGUGCUCAGAGUAGUAGUGCAAUAUUGCUUAUAGGGUCUUUUCCUUGAGACACCUUCAUUCUCCAACAAACUCAAGAAGAUAUUAACCCUGUCUAUCUACUAUCACGCAUUUUUCUGAAUGUUUUGUUUUUAUCUUGGGCUGUUUUCUGAGAGACAUUUGCAGCUUUAUGGGUGUCAUGUUGGCAAAUAUUUUUUUGCUAAAACAUAAUUGCAGAUAAUGUAAAUACCCAAAUAUGACACACACAUAAAUCAUGUAUUUCUACGAAUGUCUGGAUUUUAAAUAGGAUUCUAGUCCAGAUACACAAUUGCCUCCUGUGUAGCAAACGAGACGAGUGAAUUCCUUGGUUCAAAAAGUUUAUGAAUAGAGCUAACCAUGGGUUUACUAUACCUGUGCCAUUUUUCUCCUCCAAUUGGAUUUUCGUAUAUUUGAAUGCAAUUCUUAAUUUGGGGAUAUGAGUUAGAUUUUUGCUGGUAGUGAAAGGACUUUAAAGGCAAUAAAUAAAUACAUUUAUACAUUGAGUAUGGAUUGUCCUUCCAUAAGUCCUGCUAAACAGCAAGAGUCGCUUGUAAAUACGGAUUUCAUUUAUAUCAGGAUAUCCUAUGAAAAGUUAAGUAAUAAUGUUGGCCUGGGUUCAUUGUAUCAAAUGUUUGUAACAUUUGGGCUCUUGUUACUGUUUGUAACAUUGUAUCUGCGUGUUUGUCACACAUUUCAGUGUUUUCUGUGCUGCUAGCUACACACAGGCUUUGUUGAUAGGAACUAGCAGCUCAAAUAAAAAAACAAGGCAAUGUAUCUAAAUGCAGCAAGUGGCCGCACAAAAUAUAUUAAACGUCCUAAAAAGAUCUAAAAGAAAAGCCAGGAAUGUAUUAUCUUUGCCUGCAUCAGCCAUCAUGAUUCUGUAAGAAUAUAAAUAAUGGUAUAGUGUGCAGCACUCUCCCACCAUUCCAGUUCCUAAAUCGAGCUGUUUACGCUCACCCCUCCAUACACCCCCCUCCUUACACGGUGCAGCCCUCCUAGGGACCCUCAGUAAUUGGGGAUCACGUGAUCAGCUGUUUGGUCUGAGGUAUGUGAGAAAAGAGAGAAGGAUUGAAAUGUGCUGGGGAGGGGCAGUGUGGAGGGAGAGGGUGGCUGGGGCAGAAUGUGGGAAGGCAGUGGGAACAGACGGUUAGGGAGUAGGAAGAGAGGGAUAGGAGGGGUUGGCAGAGGAAGAGUGUGGGUGGCCUUUCCUACUAUUUUCAGGUGGUCUGUGGAUGUCUUUUGGGACCUGUGAGGCCCAGGAAUAGGGCGCAGUGGGUGGGGACCAGACACUCCCUCAAUAACAUCAGUUCAAGUUAAGAUUUUAUCCACUCUUCUACAAACGCAUAGGCAGCAGUGGCACCCAAGCCUUGGGCCCUAAACUCCGCUCCUCAGGCUUAUUCCAGGGCUCCAUUACUUACACGUGGCACUGCAUCUCCGCUUCCCUUCAUGUGGCUUCUCCUUAUUCUAUCCCUACUAUUUACACGGGAGCCUCAUGUUGUGCUGAUGUCCUAGUCCUGGGUCCCUUUUCUUUACUUGUAUUUGCCAUACAAUUACAGGCCGUAACAAUGUUGCACUAGUCGUGCUGCAGCAGGAUUCACUCAGUGGCGCAACCUUGCGCCGGACGCUUUGUGCAUCUGGACUAGCGCUGGUUUUCUAAUAAACUCUCCUGUCUGUAAAAGUGUUUAUUUACAAAAGCUAGCAGUGUUUUUAUCUGUACUUGUGGAUAACAAUGUGUGUAUUUUACAUGUAAACAACGUGUUUAUUUCCCAGAGAGAUGCCACUUGUCCUGGCGGCAGGAUACAUGGUUGCGGUGUUCUCUUCCCUCUAUAAAGGAAAAGGCUUCCUGGUGUCAGCAGGACAGUAAGUGUGUGCCCAGGCCGCCUGACACUCUUUCCCUGUUGCACUACUGUGCCAGUGAAUAAAGCAGUGCAAUGAUGAAAGGGCAUCAGUCUGGAGCUGAUCUCAGCACCGUGUCCUGCAGGGAACAACAAGCCGAGGAAUCCCCACGUCCCUCUCCCGCCGAUACUGUAACAUGGAUUCAACUACCGCCGUUGCAUUUUGUCAUUUUGUACAAAGGCAGAUGUUUCAAUAAAGCUGUACUAAGUGGGA